GUAGGUGGCAAGCGUUGUCCGGAAUUAUUGGGCGUAAAGCGCGCGCAGGCGGUUCUUUAAGUCUGAUGUGAAAGCCCACGGCUCAACCGUGGAGGGUCAUUGGAAACUGGAGAACUUGAGUACAGAAGAGGAAAGCGGAAUUCCACGUGUAGCGGUGAAAUGCGUAGAGAUGUGGAGGAACACCAGUGGCGAAGGCGGCUUUCUGGUCUGUAACUGACGCUGAGGCGCGAAAGCGUGGGGGGAGCAAACAGGAUUAGAUACCCUGGUAGUCCACGCCGUAAACGAUGAGUGCUAAGUGUUAGGGGGUUUCCGCCCCCCCCUUAGUGCUGCAGCUAACGCAUUAAGCACUCCGCCUGGGAGUACGGCCGCAAGGCUG
RNAcentral lists this ribosomal RNA (376 nucleotides) under uncultured organism. RNAcentral describes it as "partial 16S ribosomal RNA". It matches the Rfam family "Bacterial small subunit ribosomal RNA", at positions 527 to 896 of the family's 1533-position model. The record is from RNAcentral.